GGGGAUGUAGUUCAGCAGUGGAGAGCCUGCCUGGCAAGCAUGAGGCCCUGAGCUCAAUUCCUGGCACCCCUA
RNAcentral lists this transfer RNA (72 nucleotides) under Fukomys damarensis (Damara mole-rat). It matches the Rfam family "tRNA". From Rfam's summary of the family: Transfer RNA (tRNA) molecules are approximately 80 nucleotides in length. Lineage: Eukaryota; Metazoa; Chordata; Mammalia; Rodentia; Bathyergidae. The record is from Rfam by way of RNAcentral.